RNAcentral lists this ribosomal RNA (317 nucleotides) under uncultured bacterium. Its description in RNAcentral is "bacterial SSU rRNA". It matches the Rfam family "Bacterial small subunit ribosomal RNA", at positions 197 to 507 of the family's 1533-position model. The record is from RNAcentral.
ACACUGUACGAGUUUGAUCACUUACAGAUGGGCCCGCGGCGCAUUAGCUAGUUGGUGAGGUGACGGCUCACCAAGGCAACGAUGCGUAGCCGACCUGAGAGGGUGAUCGGCCACACUGGGACUGAGACACGGCCCAGACUCCUACGGGAGGCAGCAGUAGGGAAUCUUCCGCAAUGGACGAAAGUCUGACGGAGCAACGCCGCGUGAGUGAUGAAGGUUUUCGGAUCGUAAAACUCUGUUGUUAGGGAAGAACAAGUGCCGUUCGAAAGGGCGGCACCUUGACGGUACCUAACGAGAAAGCCACGGCUAACUACGUG